This 1798-nucleotide long non-coding RNA is filed under the name Mus caroli (Ryukyu mouse). Its description in RNAcentral is "lncRNA (MGP_CAROLIEiJ_G0013489.1)". Lineage: Eukaryota; Metazoa; Chordata; Mammalia; Rodentia; Muridae. The record is from RNAcentral.
CGGCCGCGCCUUGUGAGCGCUAAGCCGGGAGGAGGGCGCAGGCAGGGCGCACAGCUCUGAGCGCGCCCCUACCCGGCUCGGGCCCGCAGCAGCCCCGACUGUCCGAGAGCCUCUCCGCAAGCAAGGCUCUGCGCCGCCCUCUGAGCCCACCUCCUGGCCACAACGCCGCCUGCGCUUCUCCAGCCCAGGCCGGAAGCCCUACGCUGCCUCCUGAAGCCGGACUUUCUGGAAGCCCAUCUCCGUAUGCUCACCAGCCCACCCUCCUACGCUGGUCAGAGUGAGAUUGCUAACCUCAAGACCCCAUUCAAUGCCAGCUUUCAACUGCUGCUGAAGACCAAUGUAGGUCCUGGAUUAGAAGAACCGCAGAGUAUCCCUAAGGUCUCAUCUUCAUCUGUGUGUGUUCACAGAAGGUACAGUGUGCGAGAACACACUUAGGGAAAUUUUAGGAACGCUAACCACAGUCCUGGAGGAAUAAAGAUGUGGCGAAGGAAUGGAUCGAGUGCAUGAACACAUACACCUUGUUGUCCAGAUGCAGACAAAAGCUACCAUGUCCGCUUGGAGUGACACCCAGACAUGCACAGAGAUGUACAGGAAGCCAAGGAGAGUGGGAUCAAUCAGAGUACAGUACAAGUACAGAGUACAGUGCAAGAUGCCCAGGGACCCUGGAGAAAAACCUUUGUUGACUCUUCUGUAUGGAAAGUUUCUGAAGAAAGGGCCAAGGAAUGAUCUGCCCCGGAGGCUGCCUUUAGGCUCCCAUACCUGCUCUGUUGGAGACACCCAGAAGAGGCCAGUACGCCAAAGACUUUUUGGUUUGGUUAUUUCUGUUGCUUGUUGUCUUUUUUCAUCCUUUGCCUGGGAAGUUGUGCUCUGGAAGAGGGCUUGAGUAGACAGCACAGGCCUCCAGUAGAUAACAAGAGAUUCUCAAUCUCCAAUGAGGACAUUCCGCUCUAAGGAAGCUUCCAGAUAGGGGAAAGCCCUGUUUUGUCCCCCUUUCUCCUCUGAGAUCUGAAAAAAAUAGAAAGAAAAAAAAAGAAAAAGAAAAAGAAAACAAAUCUAAAAACUAUAGCCCAAUCCCAUAUACAUUAAAUAAAUCCACAAGGAAUACGCUAGACCAAGCUAAAUUAUGUAUUUAACUCAUUUUCUUUUGUGAGAUACUGAGAAGUCUUCAACUUCCUCUAUUCCAGGCAGGGAUUGAGGUCCUGGCCUGGCAGAGAUUCUACCACCAGGGUUUCCCACAGUGGUUCUGGGGCUAGGCUUAAGGUGUAAUGACUUGUUUUCUCUGUCACCUCUUCUGGGGAACUGGGGAACUGUCCCAGACAAUGGCUGCCCCAGUUCCCUCUAGAAGAGACAGCCCCCCCCCCAGAACCCGUUGCCCUCCAACCUCACCUCGUUUUCCAAUGUGCUCUCUUGAGCUCAUUCUCAGAGCUCUUAAAGUAGUAGGUGUGAGUCUUGUACCAUUUCUUUAAAAGAAACGACUAAGGGAAGGGAGGGAGGGAAGGAGGGAGGGAAGGGGUGGGAAGGAGAGCUACCUCCUGGGCUAACAGGUCCAGGAACCACUCUGUAAGGAGCAAAAGAGAGCCUGUGUUGUAAAGCAGAAGUGAUCCCCCCGGACGUUGCUGCAGGGCGCCUUGCAACAGAUGUAACUGUCCACUGAAGAGACAGAGGGUGGGCAUGGGGAAGAUUUUUUUCCCACCCUUUUGUGAACAACUCUUACACUUUUCCAAGACACAUUUAGUUCCUGGACAUUUUUGUGAAUUUGUUCUCGAUUGUGUUUUGAACAAUAAACUGUGAGAAUCAA